Molecule: long non-coding RNA, 3382 nt
Organism: Lathyrus oleraceus (garden pea)
Lineage: Eukaryota; Viridiplantae; Streptophyta; Magnoliopsida; Fabales; Fabaceae
Exons: 3
Source: RefSeq, a predicted model, not a curated record
AUUAAAAAAUAAGUAUAGGAGAAAUUAGGUUAAGACAUAAACAUGAGAAAUUUGAAUGCUAAAAGAAACAAAAUGCUGCAUAUGGAUAUCGAACCCACUACCUAGGUGGGAAUGAAGAAACUCCACGCCCACCCGACCAAGAGCCAUCAGCUGUUAAGCUAUGGCCAAAUAAAAAUGCAAAAAGGAAAACGAAAAGUUCCACCAUAAUGCCAACUGUAGGCAUUCAAGAAUGGUGACCGACAACUUUUAAUGGAAAGCACAAGGAACGAGCAGCCAAAGGCCUUGGGUAUAGCAAACCGUCACAGGUGUUGUUUCCAACAAACGAAAACCUUUAAAACUUAAUUAUGACGAACUUGAAAAUAAAAUAAAAUAAAAGUAAUAACAACGAAAAUACUCGUCUCCCUCCUUCAAGAAAGAUCCAAAUUUUUCACAGAGGAGCAAAACUUUCCAGCUUGAGAAAACAACCGUAAACUCAGAACAACGACCAACAAGGAUGAAGCUGGAGGAGCUUGAUCGAUGAGAACGAAAAAACACAUAGAAACCGAAACGACAACUACUCUCAUCUAAACGAUAGUCCAAAUGAUAGACCGAACUCGGGUUCUCUAAAUCAAUCAAGGCGAGGUACAAAGAGAGACUUACCGGUCACAAUGAGGUUAACGGCGACUGGAGAGGUCACCAUUGUAGUGUGUUCGCUUGUGUACUCCGUUGUUGGUAAAGGCUUCGUCCAAGGAGGCGUCGAGAUGAAACUUUGAUAUUCUCUCCAAAAUGCAGACUCUAGGUUCUUUUGAAUUUUGAUUUAUGUAGAGUUUUGUUAAGGUUUUCCUUUCUUUCUCUUUUCUAUCUGAUUUUUUGUCUUUUGAACAGUAUCGGCCGCCCCUCAAUGAGGAGAAAGUUCUCCCUUUUAUAUUCAUCCUGCUAGGGUUUGGAAUUGACCACUGAGAUCAAAAGAGUAUUGGAACUGGGAGUGCUUCCUUGCGCUGCUCUGUUGUCUACCCCAUUUUGAUGCUUCCUCUGAAAAGAUAAGUUGUACCUUGUACUUUCCCUUGUAAAAUAUUUGCUUGGCUCUUGUUGCUGCGUAUUUUCACUGCCGGUAAAUGGUUAUUCACUGCUAGUUUGGCUUUACUGUGGUAAAUAUGAAAUGAAAAAAAUCUUAUUGUCAUGGCUUAUUUUCUCUCAUUCUCUUUGAACUCUGUUGGUUUUCAGGUACUUGUGGUGUUUCCUGAAGUUUAACACUGGGAGCAUGCUGCAGCUUUGAGAGAUUCUCAAGUAGCUUAGAUCGGAUACUAUCGAGUUCAAAAAUGGUGGUCGGAUAGACUCGAAGGCGAAGUAGCACAAAAUGAUGGAGCAAACGAAGCAUCAAUCAAACUCGUAGCGGGAGCUUGAUCGGGGAACUAAAAUCGAUGGAAAUAGGAUGAUGUAGGGGCCUAGGAAACAAAUCCCAGAUUUCACGCCUCUUCUCUCCUCUUGUUCGGCUGUGCCUCUGGGGUCAUAGUGAGUCAUCAUUUGGGAAUUGGCUAGCUGAUCAUGGGGAAGUGUUUCAGAGAUAGGCAACUUAUGGUUGGCCAGUGCCUCAUGAUGGCCCAGAUGGUUAUUCGGCAAUGUAUCAUACUCUUGCAAGUGGUUAUGGGAUACUUGUUUGACAUAUGUGUCGUGACUGUCUGCCACUGGUUCAGAGCUAUGCGGCGAUUCAGUAUUAGGCAAUGACUUAGGUUGAGGCAGUUGAUCUUCAGGGAUCACAUGGAGAUUAGCAAACUGAUGAUUAUCAAGAAGAAUUUCUUGAUGGGAGAUCUGAUUAUUGGGAUACAUUGUUGAAUUCGUUAACUCAUUCUCAGGCCGAGCUUCAGAUGCAACCACAUCAUUGCUGAUUUGUGCUUCGUGCAUUACAGUCUCAUUGUUGGGUUGUGUGUCAGACAUAACUUCCUACUUGUUAGGCUGUGUGCCAGACACAAGUGCAUCAUGGAUGAUCCCUGCUUCGUGCAUGACACUCUCAUUGCUCUGCUGUGAGUCCGAUAAUACAACUUCACUGUUGGGAUGUGCCUCAGACAUGACCAUUUCAUCAUUGCCAUGUGUUUCCGAUAUCACCACCUCAGUCUUGUGUUGUGCUUCAAUAACAAUAAUCUCAUCAAUGCGCUGCAUUUCAGAUACAGUUCUGUCCUAAUUGUUCGUGUUGCUAGCAAAUUUCUUCAUUAGCUAGGAAUUAUUGAGGGAUUUAAAUGAGGUUAUGGUGUUAUCAUGAGGUAGGCUACAAUGGUUUGUCUUUUUUCUUGGUUACAAAUGUUCGUCAUGCCGUGAGGUUUAUCCAAUGAUCCUGUUAAUGCCGCAGCAUUUCGCCACUGCAAGUUGGAUGAUAUGCUAUGCAAUAUCAUGUGGAAAUAAGGUUAUGAUGAUGAUUGCACUGACUUUGUUUACAUGGUUGCGGGACGCAUGGUUUGUUGGCUUCAACAGAUAAUGGUUAUCAUGGAGCAAAGCAUGGUUUGGUCAUGGGGAUGAUUUGGCAUAUUAUUUGGAAUUAGUUUUUAGUAGUUUUGGAGUGAGUUCGUGUAAUCAUGAGGACGACUCUCAUUCUUAACUAACUUGUAGAACUUGUAAAUGUCAUCGAGAUAGUCAACAACAACAAGUUCAUUGUUAGCAUCAACAACAUCGAUGUCAACAAUCUCCUUAGGUUUGUUAGUCAAACCACAUGCAACCUUGCUUCUAGCUGUUAGAACAGAAGUAAGAGUGCGUGAUGAUUUCUUCCUGGAAUUAACUUCUCCUCCCUUUUUGUUAUGCACAAACUUUUCUUUAUUGCUCUCUUCUUCAGAACUUAUUAUAUCAAUUACAUCCACAUGCUUUGGUUUUGCAGUGACUUUCUUCUAAACAGGUUUAGGUUGUAUACCCCAGGCGUCACAAUCUUUUCUGGAUUUUUUUUCCAUGUGGUGGUCAGGUUAUAUGUUCAUGCAUGUCUGGAAGUCUAUAGAGUGCAGAUAUAACAUGAUUAUCCAUGAUGUAUUCCAUGCCUACAAUAGGGGACCUGAAUAUGGGAGGGCAAGGUUCUCCAGCACAUAAGGAUAUGUAUCCAUUCAUUCCAUCACUUUCAUUGGGAUCAGUCAUAAGUUUCCUAUAUGACUCGGGCAGAGCAUGAGAACUUGCAGCAGGAAAAACUCCAAGAAGAUGAUCAAAUGGUUUGAAUGGAGUACCCAACUCAAAGUUAAUAUCAAGCCCACCAAGGUCCUUGAGAUCAGAGGCAAAAGGGGCAUAAUGAUAGGGAUAAAACCAUGGCCAAUAACAAACACCUUCAUAAUAAUAAUGCAUCACCCAACAUAGACCUUCUGUGUAUUUGAAGACAACAUCUUUUCGCAUGGCAUCAAGUUCCUCCAGAGUUUGAGCAGAAAUUUUUUCUUCA